Molecule: ribosomal RNA, 253 nt
Filed under: uncultured bacterium
Lineage: Bacteria
Description: partial 16S ribosomal RNA
Rfam family: Bacterial small subunit ribosomal RNA
Source: RNAcentral
UACAGAGGGUGCUAGCGUUGUUCGGAAUCAUUGGGCGUAAAGAGCGUGUAGGCGGUUUGGUAGGUCCGCUGUGAAAACUCGAGGCUCAACCUCGAGACGCCGGUGGAAACCAUCAGACUAGAGUCCGGAAGAGGAGAGUGGAAUUCCUGGUGUAGCGGUGAAAUGCGUAGAUAUUUGGAGGAACACCGGUGGCGAAGGCGGCAUUCUGGACUGCGACUGACACUGAUGAACGAAAGCCAGGGGAGCAAACGGG